This 584-nucleotide long non-coding RNA is filed under the name Elaeis guineensis (African oil palm). Its description in RNAcentral is "long non-coding RNA (EGUI_LNC043504)". Lineage: Eukaryota; Viridiplantae; Streptophyta; Magnoliopsida; Arecales; Arecaceae. The record is from RNAcentral.
AGUCUAAAUUUGAUUGACCUAAUUUUAGUUUGACUUAUAUAUCUUACCUAUACAUUAAGAGAAAGUCCGGAGCUCUCCCAACGUGCCACAUGUCGAGCUCUGAACUCCUUAUGGGCAUUUUUUUUCAUAGCAUCUUUUCUCCUUUUCUUCUUUGAUUCCUUUUCGAGCCAUCUAGAAGCUUCCUGAGCCCUCCUGAACCCUCACAGAUGCCCACAUUCUCCCCACUCUCCUCGUCGCUACCUCCCAUCGAUCUCUAUCAUCAUCUUCCUCUCCAUCAUCAUUGGCAUCCAUCUUCCCCUUCCAAUCUCCCUCACGAUGUUGACCUCUUCCCCACUCUCCUCACUGCCACCUCCUGCCACUCUUUGCCAUCGCAUUCCUCCCGAUCCUCAUCGGCAUCAGGCUUCCCCCUCUAAUCUCCAAUACGUGCUUUCUUUCCCACAGAUCUCCAUUUUUUUUUAUUUUUUUUCUUUGAACCCUUCCAGAGCCCUUGCGAAUGCCCACCUCCUACCUGCUCUCCUCGCUGCCACCUAUCGUCGAUCUUCACCGUCACCUAUCUCCCCAUUGUCACUGACAUUAGCCCUCCC